GACGUAGGAGGCGAGCGUUAUCCGGAUUCACUGGGCGUAAAGCGCAUGUAGGCGGUUAAGCAAGUCCGAUGUUAAAGCCCCUGGCUCAACUGGGGGAGGUCAUUGGAGACUGCUUUGACUUGAGGGCAACAGAGGCACGUGGAACUCCCGGUGUAGCGGUGGAAUGCGUAGAGAUCGGGAAGAACACCAGUGGCGAAGGCGACGUGCUGGGUUGCGACUGACGCUGAGAUGCGAAAGUGUGGGGAGCAAACAGG
This 254-nucleotide ribosomal RNA is filed under the name uncultured bacterium. Its description in RNAcentral is "partial 16S ribosomal RNA". It matches the Rfam family "Bacterial small subunit ribosomal RNA", at positions 524 to 776 of the family's 1533-position model. The record is from RNAcentral.